GCUCUCUUAGCUCAGUAGGACAGAGCAGCGGCCUUCUAAGCCGUAGGUCACAGGUUCGAAUCCUGUAGGGAGUGCCA
This 77-nucleotide transfer RNA is filed under the name Hafnia phage vB_HpaM_Zyzzx. Its description in RNAcentral is "tRNA-Arg". It matches the Rfam family "tRNA". From Rfam's summary of the family: Transfer RNA (tRNA) molecules are approximately 80 nucleotides in length. Their secondary structure includes four short double-helical elements and three loops (D, anti-codon, and T loops). The record is from RNAcentral. Lineage: Duplodnaviria; Heunggongvirae; Uroviricota; Caudoviricetes; Andersonviridae.